GUCCACGCCGUAAACGAUGCGUGCUAGACGUUGGGUGGUUCGCCAUCCGAUGUCGCAGCUAACGCGUUAAGCACGCCGCCUGGGGAGUACGGCCGCAAGGUUAAAACUCAAAGGAAUUGACGGGGGCCCCGCACAAGCGGUGGAGCAUGUGGUUUAAUUCGAUGCAACGCGAAGAACCUUACCUGCCCUUGACAUGGGGAGUGUGACCCUCGGAGACGGGGGUCUUCAGUUCGGCUGGCUCCCACACAGGUGCUGCAUGGCUGUCGU
RNAcentral lists this ribosomal RNA (267 nucleotides) under uncultured bacterium. RNAcentral describes it as "partial 16S ribosomal RNA". It matches the Rfam family "Bacterial small subunit ribosomal RNA", at positions 793 to 1055 of the family's 1533-position model. The record is from RNAcentral.